CAAUCAAAAGAGUUCCUGCUAUGAAGCUGGAAUUAAACAAGGCUAAUUUGGAAAAGAUAAUAGAAAAUGUUCAAAAGCCCAAGCCUCACAAUACUAUAAAAAGUCACUAAUUUGAUCACCCAUCAGUCCAUAUUGUGAUUCGUCAACUUGAAUUAAUUCAAAUCGCCAAAAUAGCAUCACAGAAACUCCAAAAUUCAUGAUUGCUUCCCUUCUUCUCCAACAAGCAUUGAUCUACUCCAUCGAUCAGUCUUAAAUCCAAAUCUAGUUUACGAAUCAAAUGUGAAACAAUGACAAGAGUUCCUACGUACGGCUAGUAAAAUUAUCGUAGACUAAACAAACAAACAAAAAACCAACAUUAUGCAUCUAAAUACCAC
Molecule: long non-coding RNA, 374 nt
Organism: Ipomoea nil (Japanese morning glory)
Lineage: Eukaryota; Viridiplantae; Streptophyta; Magnoliopsida; Solanales; Convolvulaceae
Exons: 3
Source: RefSeq, a predicted model, not a curated record